CAGCCAUAGUCUGUAAUGAUGAUCAUUUUUAUCAGAUUCAUUUUAUCAUUUUUAUCCUGCAUACGUAAAGAUUGUAACAUUCCACAUUCAAAAGACGUGUUCAAUUCAAAUCAUGCUUUACAGCUUACUUGCAUGCAACAAAAAUGGACAGUUAAACCACAUAUAUAUAGAACACUGUUUAAUAUCGAUGGGUUAAACCACCACAAUACUGCCGCUGAGCACACAUUUCUGUCUAAUCAGCUGGUGUAAUGAAGCAAUUUGCCUAAUGGUUGAGUAAAUUAAAUGUUUGGGUUUGGUCUCCAUGACAACCAGCUGUCCAUAAUUAGUUAAUCAAGACAGGCAGAGUUGAGGCUAGAGUGGCUGCAUGUCAAGAGGUCGUAAGGUGCUUGAAUCAUUUAGUCAUCAGGUAGUUUGGGUCCAUACCACUGAAACAAUGCAUCGAGCUCUGCCCAUAUAUCUAAGUUUUCUUAUGAUUGGCUCUGUCUUUGCUGGAGGUUCCUGGUGUGCCAACACAGCAAGAGCCCGAGCAGCUGCCCUGGGUUUGGUCCUCCCUAGGACCCAGUUUGUCCCUUACAGCCUUCGACCAACACGCCAUAGGAGUUUUGAUCCCAUAAAAACCCACUAUGAAAAUAAGGAUGGGCCCAAAGAGGCUCAGUUUGAGCCUAGCCUUCUGCGCAACAGUAAAAUCCAAGGGGAUGGCUAUCCAACUGACUGGGCCUAUGGACAAGUCUUCGCCAGAGGCUUUCAACCCAAACCGUAUUCACUAAACUAUCACGGUUCUGAUCCCAGUUUGGCUGACUCCUCUGUCAGCCAUUCUGUCUACACUCCCAAGGGAGAACUUGUUAGCAGCCACAAGCCCAACUUUGAGCAAGUCAAGAAUUCUGUGCCUCGAUCAAAUGUAAUGGUAGCCCCUGGUCAGUUUGAGUACUCAGACAAAGUGGACAUUCGCAAUUACUAUAAGCCUGUUGUAGUUCAGCCUGUUCCCAGCAGACGUAGAACAAUCCAGAGUGUGGUUCCACGACCCCAGAGCAGAGGUGCUGUACCCUAUGGAAAAAGUAUCCUAUGGUCCUGGCCACAGUAGAGACUUAUCCUCUCCACCAUCCCAGAGUGGACUCAUCAGCCUCCGAGCUAAAAAAAAAAAAAAUGUUCCCAGACCCUGUUGUCCAUUCAGUGAUCAAAGAGCCAAAAAUGAAGUGUCAGAAAAACAGAUCCUGUUGGUUAAUAAGCUCCUAAUGGACAAACUCUCCUUUGCAAACCACCUUUGGCUCCUCAGACAUGCAUACCAGUGGUGAGCAAAUCAGUGACCUUGUGCACUUUUAAGGGCAAAACAUGUAAGCUGUGUUUGAAGUCAUUACAUUUACUUAUCCAUGACAUCACUGUUCUGAAUCAGUAUUUGUUUAUGGCUCUUCCCCCACUGCCCAGUGUUGAUCCUUCAAAUAAAAUGUAUUUUUCAGAUUGUGUUUUUUAAAUUUAUUACUAGAUAAAUCAACUGAUAGACCAAGUAAAGAUUAACAAUGUGCUACAUUUAUAGAAUUUUGGUGUAAGACCAGUUAUCCAGUAGCGACUCACCAGAAAUGUAUUUUGAAAGAUACAAUUUGAACUGAAAUAAUGUCAUUUUGAUAAAUUGUUCAGUUUGCUUUUGAUCACCUCUUGUGAUUUAUGUCCCUGUAAACCAAUUUGAUAGAAACUCAGCGGUUGUCUCCAAAUAAAUGUGACAACUACACCAAAGAUUGUGGAUAAAUGAAGAGUGGUUCACCUAAGUUGUUUAAAUAUAUAUUCCUGUAAGUGGGUGUUCCUCCUCUCGUGUGAGCAUGCUUUCCUAUGAGCUUACGGUUUCUCCAUAUUAGAGCCCCACAAUUGAGGUGUCAAAACCUAGAGGUCAAACAAGGAAUGGUUCCAAUUGUUUUUCCAUCGUUCAUUUCUCCCAUUUUGGAUUUUAGAAUUACUUAAAAUAAGGGCUGUGUUUUGUGUAGGCUUACCCUGGUGUGACAUUUUGAUAACCAUGUAAAUCUCUCUCGGACAAGGUGACUUAUCAAUAUAUUUGACUAUUUACUCUGGUUCGAAAAUGCUAAUUAGCAUCAAAGUAGACAUGCAAAACUGCAAAUCCCUGCAAGCUUAUACACAUCUCUAGCUGGCAUCUUUGCUAACAGCUGUUGUGUCAAUUUAAAACUUGCACAAGAUAGUGAAUAGAAUUGUCCAUUUAAAGAAAUGUAGCCAAUUUAUUCAUUGCUACAUUUAGCUAACAUACAG
This is a long non-coding RNA of Oncorhynchus tshawytscha (Chinook salmon), 2250 nucleotides long. The record is from Ensembl. NCBI's taxonomy places the organism in Eukaryota, Metazoa, Chordata, Actinopteri, Salmoniformes, Salmonidae.